This is a non-coding RNA of Heterocephalus glaber (naked mole-rat), 46 nucleotides long. Lineage: Eukaryota; Metazoa; Chordata; Mammalia; Rodentia; Bathyergidae. The record is from Rfam.
GAAAAGGAUCUUGUGAGAUCCACCUACAGAUAUGAACAGGAAAUGG